UGGACAAUCGAUGUUGAAUUCUUCUCGAUGACGUAGAUUCCUUGGUGGAAUGGAAACUAUAAAAUGCGAGAAUCCUUACGGAUUGGAAUCAUUCAAGCUCAAUCAAUCUCAUCUCCUCAGAAAUUAUCAUCUCUUCAAAAACCAAAAACUUCGCCAUGUUCCGAUUCGUCCUUGUCGUUCUCGCCCUCCUCGCCGUGGCGUCCGCCCAGCUUUUGUACACUUCCGGUGUGAGCGGCCCCAACUUCCACAACGCUUUCGCCUCCUCCGCCUCCACCGGAAUUCGAAGAUACGGAUCCACCGCUGGAUUGGCCUACGCCGCCGCUCCAGCAUACGCCGCCGCUAUUCCCGCCUACUAUUAAAAUUUUGAAGUUUUAUAUUUCCAAAUUUUUGGUUUACCAUGUUCUGAAUAAAACUGUGAACCUUUUAAGAAA
This is a long non-coding RNA of Folsomia candida, 431 nucleotides long. RefSeq lists it as uncharacterized. The transcript is spliced from 3 exons. NCBI's taxonomy places the organism in Eukaryota, Metazoa, Arthropoda, Collembola, Entomobryomorpha, Isotomidae. The record is from RefSeq and is a predicted model, not a curated record.